AGUGGCGGACGGGUGAGUAACGCGUGAGAAUCUGCCUUGGGGUCGGGGACAACCACUGGAAACGGUGGCUAAUACCGGAUACGCCUUCGGGUAAAAGAUUUAUUGCCCUAAGAGGAGCUCGCGUCUGAUUAGCUAGUUGGUGAGGUAAGAGCUCACCAAGGCAGCGAUCAGUAGCUGGUCUGAGAGGACGAUCAGCCACACUGGGACUGAGACACGGCCCAGACUCCUACGGGAGGCAGCAGUGGGGAAUUUUCCGCAAUGGGCGAAAGCCUGACGGAGCAAGACCGCGUGAGGGAGGAAGGCUCUUGGGUUGUAAACCUCUUUUCUCAGGGAAGAAGCUCUGACGGUACCUGAGGAAUCAGCCUCGGCUAACUCCGUGCCAGCAGCCGCGGUAAUACGGAGGAGGCAAGCGUUAUCCGGAAUUAUUGGGCGUAAAGCGUCCGCAGGUGGCGAUUCAAGUCUGCUGUCAAAGCACGGGGCUUAACUCCGUAAAGGCAGUGGAAACUGAAUAGCUAGAGUGCCGUAGGGGUAGAGGGAAUUCCCGGUGUAGCGGUGAAAUGCGUAAAGAUCGGGAAGAACAUCGGUGGCGAAAGCGCUCUACUGGACGGCAACUGACACUCAGGGACGAAAGCUAGGGGAGCGAAUGGGAUUAGAUACCCC
This 660-nucleotide ribosomal RNA is filed under the name uncultured bacterium. RNAcentral's name for it is "bacterial SSU rRNA". It matches the Rfam family "Bacterial small subunit ribosomal RNA", at positions 94 to 788 of the family's 1533-position model. The record is from RNAcentral.